UCUAGCCAAAAUAUGACCAAACCUCAAACUAAUUGCAACAGAAUGUUCUUCUAGUUUUCCAAGCUGGUUUAGGUGUACUGUUGAACAUAAAAAAAAUCGAGAAUGUUUGGAUGAAGGGAAAUUGUUAAUUUUGGGUGAAAACCUUGAUUUUUUGUGAAAAAUCGCUGAAAACUGGUAAUUUGCCGUGACUCAAAAACAAAAAUAGCAACUUGCAUAAUUUUUAAUGAAGUCAAUAGAUCUUAUUACAGUAAUGAUUUAUUUAAACGUUCAUGAACUGCAAAGAUCAGGAAAUUGAAAAUUUUGGGUGAAAACCUUG
RNAcentral lists this long non-coding RNA (316 nucleotides) under Mytilus galloprovincialis (Mediterranean mussel). The record is from RNAcentral. Lineage: Eukaryota; Metazoa; Mollusca; Bivalvia; Mytilida; Mytilidae.